Molecule: ribosomal RNA, 707 nt
Filed under: Chryseobacterium sp.
Lineage: Bacteria; Pseudomonadati; Bacteroidota; Flavobacteriia; Flavobacteriales; Weeksellaceae
Description: bacterial SSU rRNA
Rfam family: Bacterial small subunit ribosomal RNA
Source: RNAcentral
UCAGGAUGAACGCUAGCGGGAGGCCUAACACAUGCAAGCCGAGCGGUAGAGAUUCUUCGGAAUCUUGAGAGCGGCGCACGGGUGCGGAACACGUGUGCAACCUACCUUUAUCAGGGGGAUAGCCUUUCGAAAGGAAGAUUAAUACCCCAUAAUAUAAUGAACGGCAUCGUUCGUUAUUGAAAACUCCGGUGGAUAGAGAUGGGCACGCGCAAGAUUAGAUAGUUGGUGAGGUAACGGCUCACCAAGUCAAUGAUCUUUAGGGGGCCUGAGAGGGUGAUCCCCCACACUGGUACUGAGACACGGACCAGACUCCUACGGGAGGCAGCAGUGAGGAAUAUUGGACAAUGGGUGAGAGCCUGAUCCAGCCAUCCCGCGUGAAGGACGACGGCCCUAUGGGUUGUAAACUUCUUUUGUAUAGGGAUAAACCUUUCCACGUGUGGAAAGCUGAAGGUACUAUACGAAUAAGCACCGGCUAACUCCGUGCCAGCAGCCGCGGUAAUACGGAGGGUGCAAGCGUUAUCCGGAUUUAUUGGGUUUAAAGGGUCCGUAGGCGGACUCGUAAGUCAGUGGUGAAAUCUCAUAGCUUAACUAUGAAACUGCCAUUGAUACUGCGGGUCUUGAGUAAGGUAGAGGUAGCUGGAAUAAGUAGUGUAGCGGUGAAAUGCAUAGAUAUUACUUAGAACACCAAUUGCGAAGGCAGGUUACCA